Non-coding RNA from Phycisphaerae bacterium, 98 nucleotides. Lineage: Bacteria; Pseudomonadati; Planctomycetota; Phycisphaerae. The record is from Rfam.
UGUCGGGUCCCAUGCAAGCUUCGGGACGUGAACCUGGUCAGGCGGGGAACCGAGCAGCCAUAAGCGCUUCCGGGCUGUGCGUGGUAAACCCGACACCU